RNAcentral lists this ribosomal RNA (253 nucleotides) under uncultured bacterium. RNAcentral describes it as "partial 16S ribosomal RNA". It matches the Rfam family "Bacterial small subunit ribosomal RNA", at positions 524 to 776 of the family's 1533-position model. The record is from RNAcentral.
UACAGAGGGUGCGAGCGUUGUCCGGAAUCACUGGGCGUAAAGGGCGCGUAGGCGGCUUGGUAAGCGUGCGGUGAAAGCCCGGGGCUCAACCCCGGGUCGGCCGUGCGAACUGCUGGGCUGGAGCACUGUAGAGGCAGGUGGAAUUCCGGGUGUAGCGGUGGAAUGCGUAGAGAUCCGGAAGAACACCGGUGGCGAAGGCGGCCCGCUGGGCUGUUGCUGACGCUGAGGCGCGACAGCGUGGGGAGCAAACAGG